UGACGUCAAGUCCUCAUGGCCCUUAUGCCCAGGGCUACACACGUGCUACAAUGGGCGGUACAAAGGGUAGCGAUGCCGCGAGGCGAAGCCAAUCCCAAAAAGCCGUCCUCAGUUCGGAUUGGAGUCUGCAACUCGACUCCAUGAAGCCGGAAUCGCUAGUAAUCGCGGAUCAGCAUGCCGCGGUGAAUACGUUCCCGGGGCUU
RNAcentral lists this ribosomal RNA (203 nucleotides) under uncultured Desulfobacterium sp. Its description in RNAcentral is "partial 16S ribosomal RNA". It matches the Rfam family "Bacterial small subunit ribosomal RNA", at positions 1180 to 1382 of the family's 1533-position model. Lineage: Bacteria; Pseudomonadati; Thermodesulfobacteriota; Desulfobacteria; Desulfobacterales; Desulfobacteriaceae. The record is from RNAcentral.